Long non-coding RNA from Mercenaria mercenaria, 361 nucleotides. RefSeq lists it as uncharacterized. The transcript has 3 exons. Lineage: Eukaryota; Metazoa; Mollusca; Bivalvia; Venerida; Veneridae. The record is from RefSeq and is a predicted model, not a curated record.
UUUUGUUUCCAGGUAGGACAGAGUGUCCAUCUCUACUGAAAGCUGUUGUUUGGCAUUUACUGUGAGACAAGUCACAUUUACCUGAGCGGAGAAGAGUAUCUAAAAACCUGAAAUCAGAGCGCUCUGACAAUGUGAUGUUUGUCGCAGACGGGUAUUGACCUCCUUUGUACAUAUAUGUCUACAGCUUCUCAGAUUUGACCGAAGACAGUUUUUCGGUGUUGGGAAUGGAUGUUGUUCGGCCAAAGGCCUUCCAGUCACACAGAAGAUCAUGGUUCGGUCACACGAAGGGUCACUUCCAUUGAUAUUAGCACAGGAGUCUGAAAUUCUAUCAAUAAGACCAUAGAAGUCUAUCUUUACAAAA